AGAAAAAUAGACGGCUAAAAGGAGAGGGCGCAUAUGAGCGUAUAUAGAGUGUCAAAUAAAACUCGGCUUGGGCUCGCGAGCUUCUAGUCUGAGUAUGAUAAAUUUUAAAACGAACUGAGCUCGAAUCUGGAUAACUACUUAACGAGCUGAGCCCAAGCCCGAGCCUGGCUCUAUAAGCAAAAGCUCGACUCGUUUGACCCUAAGCAGAUAUAUAUUGGAGUUAUCUUUGGUGAAGUUUAUUCUAUUGAUAUAUAUCUCUUUUUUAAUAAUGAAUUGACACCUAAUAUUAGAAAAUGUGUGACCAUUUAAUUUUUAGUCAAUAAUAAUAAUAAUUAAAUAUUAACCGACAUACGGGUAAAUUUUCAACUUCAACAUAACUAAUUUUCACCUAAACCGUGUGUAUUUGGGACUUGGAAGAUUAAAUCCUUACACGAUAAUAUUGUUUAUUUUAUAUUAUUAGUAGGUGGGAACGUGGGGUUGGCGUGUCGACCAUAUUGAUUUAUUUAUUUAUUUUAAUUUUAGUUAGUUUGGUAAUUGGGUAAAUGUUAUAUGAAAUCCGUAUUCGAAUUCGAAUAUUUCUAUUUGGAUACCAAAAAAUGAUAUUCGAAAAUUAUCC
Molecule: long non-coding RNA, 616 nt
Filed under: Zostera marina
Lineage: Eukaryota; Viridiplantae; Streptophyta; Magnoliopsida; Alismatales; Zosteraceae
Description: long non-coding RNA (ZMAR_LNC001449)
Source: RNAcentral